Molecule: non-coding RNA, 400 nt
Organism: Lolium perenne
Lineage: Eukaryota; Viridiplantae; Streptophyta; Magnoliopsida; Poales; Poaceae
Source: RefSeq, a predicted model, not a curated record
GUAGAACCUGUUGUAUUAUGAGGGUAUAUAUGAAUUGUAACUCUUUUAUUGGCUACUUUUUUGCAGCUGUAAUCUUGAUAUCUGCUCCUUGCUAUGUUUUCGGAUGUCCCGUGGGGAGAACCUGGCUGCGUUGCUUGUAAUGCAGGUGUGACCAUGGGAACAGCCAUUCUUCUCGAGGAAUAUGAAGGACGCCAUGCUUGCUCAAGAAUCUUUGGUCUGGUUGAUUGCCUUCAGGUAAACAUCUGCUGCCCCUUCAUUCUGCAGUAUGAUAUCUUCCUUUGGUGGAAAAUACUCAACCUGCACUUCCAUGACCUAUUGUCCAACAAAUUAUAUUAUUACAUAUCACCAGUUCUCCUAAGAUAGUUGAAUGAACAUCGAGUGAGUGGCUAUAUUACCAGUU